UAUCAUUGGCUAUACGCAACUUCUCCUACCUCCUCACCGUUCCAUCAUCCGCUAUCGAUACGCCAAUAAAUUCAGACGAGAUACAAUACAUUCAGGGAGAGAGCGAUAAUAACGAUAUUGAUAAAGACAAAAAGAAGUAAUUGAUCACGAUGAAGGAAUAAUAAUGGAUAUUUAAAUGUGAUCACGACGAAUGUUGUAUUAACACUGAAACAAAUGCAACUCGAGAAAAUAGAUGAAAUACACGUAGUUUCUGGUAAAUGCGUUUCAUGACCUCGUUCUUAUCGGUACGAGGAGUCAAUCGAUGACCGCCCGCAAAUCACGGGUCAACGACUCGGUCAACAACGAGCUCCCUCACAAUAACUCUAUAAAUCUCGGGACACUUUCUGGGAAUCGGAAGUCAUAAUGCUGUCGUUUCCACUUCUGAUGCUCGAUGGAACGUUGCAUAUAGAGUUGUUUGCCAGUUUUCUUUCGCUACUUCGGAAAUGAUCUCAUUUGCACGAUAUAGAAAUAUCUUGAUGAAACUUUUUCACCAAUCUUUCUUUCCUUUCGUGCAACUUUUUUAAAGAUAUGAAUAGAAAUAAUAUAUAUGUAUAAAGUAAAUAAGUAAGUUAUAAAUAAUAUGUUAAACUA
Molecule: long non-coding RNA, 630 nt
Organism: Apis dorsata (giant honeybee)
Lineage: Eukaryota; Metazoa; Arthropoda; Insecta; Hymenoptera; Apidae
Exons: 3
Source: RefSeq, a predicted model, not a curated record